This 77-nucleotide transfer RNA is filed under the name Cellulophaga lytica. RNAcentral's name for it is "tRNA-Asp". It matches the Rfam family "tRNA". Rfam says of the family: Transfer RNA (tRNA) molecules are approximately 80 nucleotides in length. Their secondary structure includes four short double-helical elements and three loops (D, anti-codon, and T loops). Further hydrogen bonds mediate the characteristic L-shaped molecular structure. tRNAs have two regions of fundamental functional importance: the anti-codon, which is responsible for specific mRNA codon recognition, and the 3' end, to which the tRNAs corresponding amino acid is attached (by aminoacyl-tRNA synthetases). tRNAs cope with the degeneracy of the genetic code in two manners: having more than one tRNA (with a specific anti-codon) for a particular amino acid; and 'wobble' base-pairing, i.e. permitting non-standard base-pairing at the 3rd anti-codon position. Lineage: Bacteria; Pseudomonadati; Bacteroidota; Flavobacteriia; Flavobacteriales; Flavobacteriaceae. RNAcentral also lists the same sequence under 64 other names. The record is from RNAcentral.
GGUCUGGUAGUUCAGUUGGUUAGAAUACCUGCCUGUCACGCAGGGGGUCGCGGGUUCGAGUCCCGUCCAGACCGCAA